Molecule: ribosomal RNA, 301 nt
Filed under: uncultured bacterium
Lineage: Bacteria
Description: partial 16S ribosomal RNA
Rfam family: Bacterial small subunit ribosomal RNA
Source: RNAcentral
CAGCCGCCACGGAAUACGGAGGGUGCAAGCGUUAAUCGGAAUUACUGGGCGUAAAGCGCACGCAGGCGGUCUGACAAGUCAGAUGUGAAAUCCCCGGGCUUAACCUGGGAACUGCAUUUGAAACUGUCAGGCUGGAGUCUUGUAGAGGGGGGUGGAAUUCCAGGUGUAGCGGUGAAAUGCGUAGAGAUCUGGAGGAAUACCGGUGGCGAAGGCGGCCCCCUGGACAAAGACUGACGCUCAGGUGCGAAAGCGUGGGGAGCAAACAGGAUUAGAUACCCCUGUAGUCCCUGUCUCUUAUACA